Molecule: ribosomal RNA, 267 nt
Filed under: uncultured eukaryote
Lineage: Eukaryota
Description: partial small subunit ribosomal RNA
Rfam family: Eukaryotic small subunit ribosomal RNA
Source: RNAcentral
AGCUCCAAUAGCGUAUAUUAAAGUUGUUGCAGUUAAAAAGCUCGUAGUUGGAUUUCUGGCAGGAUGACUUCGUCCUCAGUUGAGUGUACGGAGCCGUCUUACCAUCCUUCUGUUACCCAUUUAGUUCUUCUAUGAUCUACUUGGUGCUCAGAUAUUUUACCUUGAGAAAAUUAGAGUGUUUCAGGCAGGCUAGCGCCGGAAUACAUUAGCAUGGAAUAAUGGAAUAGGACUUUUGCCUCUUCUGUUGGUCUGAGGGGUUCGAGUAAU